Molecule: ribosomal RNA, 253 nt
Filed under: uncultured archaeon
Lineage: Archaea
Description: partial 16S ribosomal RNA
Rfam family: Archaeal small subunit ribosomal RNA
Source: RNAcentral
AGGGUGUAAACGCUGCAGACUUGGUGUUGGAAGUCCUUUGGGGGCAUUCAGUGCCGGAGAGAAGUUGUUAAGUCUGCUACUUGGGGAGUACGUCCGCAAGGAUGAAACUUAAAGGAAUUGGCGGGGGAGCACCGCAACGGGAGGAGCGUGCGGUUUAAUUGGAUUCAACGCCGGACAUCUCACCGGAUAAGACAGCUGAAUGAUAGUCGGGCUGAAGACUCUACUUGAUGAUCUGAGAGGAGGUGCAUGGCGU